Molecule: ribosomal RNA, 514 nt
Filed under: uncultured bacterium
Lineage: Bacteria
Description: partial 16S ribosomal RNA
Rfam family: Bacterial small subunit ribosomal RNA
Source: RNAcentral
GAUGAACGCUGGCGGCGUGCCUAAUACAUGCAAGUCGAGCGAAUGGAUUAAGAGCUUGCUCUUAUGAAGUUAGCGGCGGACGGGUGAGUAACACGUGGGUAACCCGCCCAUAAGACUGGGAUAACUCCGGGAAACCGGGGCUAAUACCGGAUAACAUUUUGAACCGCAUGGUUCGAAAUUGAAAGGCGGCUUCGGCUGUCACUUAUGGAUGACCCGCGUCGCAUUAGCUAGUUGGUGAGGUAACGGCUCACCAAGGCAACGAUGCGUAGCCGACCUGAGAGGGUGAUCGGCCACACUGGGACUGAGACACGGCCCAGACUCCUACGGGAGGCAGCAGUAGGGAAUCUUCCGCAAUGGACGAAAGUCUGACGGAGCAACGCCGCGUGAGUGAUGAAGGCUUUCGGGUCGUAAAACUCUGUUGUUAGGGAAGAACAAGUGCUAGUUGAAUAAGCUGGCACCUUGACAGUACCUAACCAGAAAGCCACGGCUAACUACGUGCCAGCAGCCGCCGCUG